AAAUUGAAGAGUUUGAUCAUGGCUCAGAUUGAACGCUGGCGGCAGGCCUAACACAUGCAAGUCGAGCGGAAACGAGUUAUCUGAACCUUCGGGGAACGAUAACGGCGUCGAGCGGCGGACGGGUGAGUAAUGCCUAGGAAAUUGCCCUGAUGUGGGGGAUAACCAUUGGAAACGAUGGCUAAUACCGCAUGAUGCCUACGGGCCAAAGAGGGGGACCUUCGGGCCUCUCGCGUCAGGAUAUGCCUAGGUGGGAUUAGCUAGUUGGUGAGGUAAGGGCUCACCAAGGCGACGAUCCCUAGCUGGUCUGAGAGGAUGAUCAGCCACACUGGAACUGAGACACGGUCCAGACUCCUACGGGAGGCAGCAGUGGGGAAUAUUGCACAAUGGGCGCAAGCCUGAUGCAGCCAUGCCGCGUGUGUGAAGAAGGCCUUCGGGUUGUAAAGCACUUUCAGUCGUGAGGAAGGUAAUGUAGUUAAUAGCUGCAUUAUUUGACGUUAGCGACAGAAGAAGCACCGGCUAACUCCGUGCCAGCAGCCGCGGUAAUACGGAGGGUGCGAGCGUUAAUCGGAAUUACUGGGCGUAAAGCGCAUGCAGGUGGUUUGUUAAGUCAGAUGUGAAAGCCCGGGGCUCAACCUCGGAAUUGCAUUUGAAACUGGCAGACUAGAGUACUGUAGAGGGGGUAGAAUUUCAGGUGUAGCGGUGAAAUGCGUAGAGAUCUGAAGGAAUACCGGUGGCGAAGGCGGCCCCCUGGACAGAUACUGACACUCAGAUGCGAAAGCGUGGGGAGCAAACAGGAUUAGAUACCCUGGUAGUCCACGCCGUAAACGAUGUCUACUUGGAGGUUGUGGCCUUGAGCCGUGGCUUUCGGAGCUAACGCGUUAAGUAGACCGCCUGGGGAGUACGGUCGCAAGAUUAAAACUCAAAUGAAUUGACGGGGGCCCGCACAAGCGGUGGAGCAUGUGGUUUAAUUCGAUGCAACGCGAAGAACCUUACCUACUCUUGACAUCCAGAGAACUUUCCAGAGAUGGAUUGGUGCCUUCGGGAACUCUGAGACAGGUGCUGCAUGGCUGUCGUCAGCUCGUGUUGUGAAAUGUUGGGUUAAGUCCCGCAACGAGCGCAACCCUUAUCCUUGUUUGCCAGCGAGUAAUGUCGGGAACUCCAGGGAGACUGCCGGUGAUAAACCGGAGGAAGGUGGGGACGACGUCAAGUCAUCAUGGCCCUUACGAGUAGGGCUACACACGUGCUACAAUGGCGCAUACAGAGGGCAGCCAACUUGCGAAAGUGAGCGAAUCCCAAAAAGUGCGUCGUAGUCCGGAUUGGAGUCUGCAACUCGACUCCAUGAAGUCGGAAUCGCUAGUAAUCGUGGAUCAGAAUGCCACGGUGAAUACGUUCCCGGGCCUUGUACACACCGCCCGUCACACCAUGGGAGUGGGCUGCAAAAGAAGUAGGUAGUUUAACCUUCGGGGGGACGCUUACCACUUUGUGGUUCAUGACUGGGGUGAAGUCGUAACAAGGUAGCGCUAGGGGAACCUGGCGCUGGAUCACCUCCUUA
This 1552-nucleotide ribosomal RNA is filed under the name Vibrio parahaemolyticus. RNAcentral's name for it is "bacterial SSU rRNA". It matches the Rfam family "Bacterial small subunit ribosomal RNA". The record is from RNAcentral. Lineage: Bacteria; Pseudomonadati; Pseudomonadota; Gammaproteobacteria; Vibrionales; Vibrionaceae.